CGCUGCCCCUGCAGGUGUGGGAGACGGUGACGAUGGCGUUCCCGGCGAUGGAGGACUACUUAUCGGUGUAGUGCUCGUCGGCGAUGGAGAUGGUGGUGUAGCUGCAGGUCCACCGGCUGGAGCGCUCGUCGGAGAUGUAGAUGAAGAUGCGGGUCCACUGGCUGGAGCGCUUGCCGGAGACAGUGAUGGAGAUAAAGCUGCAGGUCCACCCGCUGGAGCGCUCGUCGGAGACGUAGCUGUAGGCCCACCAGCCGGAGGAGUGCUUAUCGGAGAAGGAGAAGUAGCCGGAGGUACACCUGCCGGAGGGGUGCUUAUUGAAGACGGAGAUGAAGCCGUAGGUCCACCGGUCGGAGGGGUACUUGCCGGAUAUGGUGAUACAGACGGGGAAUUUCCAAUCGGAGAAGGUGAAACCGAGGGAGUAUAUGCCGUUGGGGAUCCAGAUGGUGAAGGAGAAGAUAUUGGUGGUGGAACAGUGGGUGUUUGUGUUUGUUUUCGUUGGGACAAAACAACAAGGCUUAAUUUCUGACCCUUCUCACAAUUUUCAUCUUUUCCACUAAUGAAGUAAAAUGGUCCUGAUCGAUCCAACGUCAACUCUGUCUCACCUUCUUCUAAUUUCUUAAUUGG
RNAcentral lists this long non-coding RNA (624 nucleotides) under Cicer arietinum (chickpea). RNAcentral describes it as "long non-coding RNA (CARI_LNC002352)". Lineage: Eukaryota; Viridiplantae; Streptophyta; Magnoliopsida; Fabales; Fabaceae. The record is from RNAcentral.